Molecule: long non-coding RNA, 420 nt
Organism: Helianthus annuus (common sunflower)
Lineage: Eukaryota; Viridiplantae; Streptophyta; Magnoliopsida; Asterales; Asteraceae
Exons: 3
Source: RefSeq, a predicted model, not a curated record
AGAGAUAUGGAGAGCAAGAACUCCCUUGAUUCAAUCCAUCACAAAUUCUCCUAAAUCAAGAUCAGUUAGAUGAUGAAGCUUGGCAUGAAUGAGGAUUCCUUAUCACCUCAACCUAAUAAACAUGUGUGACAUGUAAGGAUAAGCAUCAUGUCAAGGACGCAAGCACGAAAGGCUAACGGGUCAAUAGGAGGCGAGGAAGCGAUCACGAAUACGGACGCUUAAGGACCUUAGGUAUACUUGGAGCUUGCACUAGAGGAGAAGCGGGUCGUUGUGGACAAGGAUUUAUGAAUGCUUACUAAACACUUAUGAUAUUACAAACAUUAAUACUUGUGAUGGGUUUUACAUUAAUGCUUCCGCUACACUUAAUUAUGUUGGUUUGUGAUAAACACCUUCGUAUUGAUGGAUAUUUAUUUCUAUUUA